AUGGUGUACAUUGUUGCUUUGGAC
RNAcentral lists this non-coding RNA (24 nucleotides) under Arabidopsis thaliana (thale cress). Lineage: Eukaryota; Viridiplantae; Streptophyta; Magnoliopsida; Brassicales; Brassicaceae. The record is from RNAcentral.